ACGACGCAGGUGGUUGUGCUUCGGGUGUCGCUGCACUGCAAGGGGUGCGCGGGCAAGGUGAAGAAGCACCUCGCCAAGAUGGAGGGCGUGACGUCGUUCGACAUCGACAUCCCGAGCAAGAAGGUGACGGUGGUCGGCGACGUGACGCCGCUGGGGGUGCUCACCAGCGUCUCCAAGGUCAAGCCCGCCCAGUUCUGGCCGUCGACGCCGUGCCCCCCGCGGGCCUCAGCUUCCUUCUGA
This 240-nucleotide ribosomal RNA is filed under the name Triticum aestivum (bread wheat). RNAcentral describes it as "partial small subunit ribosomal RNA". Lineage: Eukaryota; Viridiplantae; Streptophyta; Magnoliopsida; Poales; Poaceae. The record is from RNAcentral.